GGGGCGGGGAGACGCGUCACGUCACACAAAACAUCUGUUCCGCAACCCGGAUAGAUUUCACCCUCCCCUGCUACCAUCUCUCUUUUUGGAGCAGUUGUUCUUCACGGAAGCAUCGUUGCCCCCUCGCCGCUAGAAUUUCCCGAAAGGACGACAAUUUUCGAGUGUCUUGAGUGUGAAACGUGAGCCGCGAUGUGUAACGCCUGGGGGUAUAACGUCCGCGGGGCGUACUGCCUCGGUAUCUUCCUGGUUAUCCUCGGCAUCUUCAGCAUCCUGCUGGGCAUUAUCGGGCUCGGCGCCUGCUACGGGUACUGCGCGCCGAUCGUCUGCGUCGUCGGUGCCCCAAUAUGGAGCGGCGUCUUCGUGUUGUUAGCGGGAAUUCUGGCUAUACGCAGUGCCUACAACCCUGGGGAUGGCUGCUUGAUCACGUCAUUUGUGGUGUUCGCGAUCCUUGCGUUCGUGACGACGCUGCUGACGGUAUUGGUGGGAAUCGCGGAGUCCGGCGUGGUGAACGAGUACUACUUUGACGACGCCUUCAUGACAGUGACUGACAGGGUGCCUGUGACGUACACCGUUCCUCCAGUCAGGGACGCACGGCAGGCUAACGGGCGGCCUGAGGACGUCACCACCGCCGCACCUAUCGCCGUUACCGACGCCGUGAUGGGCACCGACAGCGCCGUGACCGAGGCCGCGGCCGAGACCGCCACGUCUGGAGGAUGGAUCCACGACUUCAAGACCGAGUUCCGCCGCAUCUGGCCCUAUUACGAGAACCAUGCCGCCCUGCUAGCUCUCAUCAUCAUCUCAGCUGUGAUUGAAGUCAUCCUGACCGCCGUCAUCUCCUGCAUCGGCUGUGGAGGGAUCUGCUCUGGUUACCAUGGACACGAGGCCCCUGCUAUUGUUGUGUACGACGGCACCAAGGCCAUGCCUCUCGGACCCGGUCAAAGGGCAGUACAACAACCUGAUGGUGGCAUCAAGGUUGUCCCCAUAGGUCAGUCAGCCGCCAGCGUAUGAUAUCAUAAUGGCCAUGAAUUAUAGUUAUGUUAAUAUAUUAUGGUUUUGCUUUUUGUUCUGUAAAAUUCGUUUUACUUCAAAUUUGCUUUGUUCCUUUACAUUUUUCUACAUGUUGGCAUGGUGUUCACGGUUUGAGACACCGGAGUAUAAACAGAGGAAAGAGGCUGAACUGGCGACUGCUUCUGUUUAAAACUCUGCUCACAAAAGAGAAGAACCCGGGAAAGUCGGGUUGUAAACUUGGUAGCUAUCUUCGUAAAUUUUUGUUGCAAAAACUUUGUCACCAGAUGUUUAAAACAAAUUUAAAACAGUCUGGUAUCCUCAGAUCAUGACUUCUUUAAAAAAUGCAUUAGUAAAGUCCAAAGAGCUACUCAUAGGAAUACUUCGGUAUAACUACGAACCAAGUUGUAUGUAAUAUUAUUAAUCCUUGUUUGGUGUUUGAUAUUUUUUGUAGAAAAUGUCAAUAUGACGCUUUAGUUUGGGGUUGUUUUAUUCUAGGAGGUGCCAAAAUACUGCGAGGAAUGUCAAAUAUAACCUUGUAUGUUGGUCAAGUCUUUACCAGUUUAACAUUUGUUAGUCUUUCUUCAGCUAAUGAUGCAAACAGUCAGUGUAUUUGUAAGUUGCUAGUCUCUAGAUAUGUUAUGUAGUUAGUUACAGUACAUUGUAGUUCGUUUAAUUAGAUAAUAGAUGUCAUUCAACUGGUGCUACUAUAUCCCUCAGUGGUUUACUUUAGAGGAAACUUAAAAGGUAUCUACAUAUAUGAGGCGCACAAACGAAGUCUUUAAGUGUAUGAUAUUGUUUAAGACUUUCUAGCAGCUGUUGUGGGGACAAAACUUGGAUUUUCUAGAGUCAUUGGUGACUAACUGAUCCAGUUUGUACAGUGUGUGUGCCUUCUUUUUCCUUUCUGCACUUGUAUAUCACUUGAUUAUUUUAUCACGAGUGUUCAGAUCUGUGCUAUUUGACAAUCAGAAGAAGUGAAAAUUCUACGUCAUUAGCUGUGUUACUUAUAAACGUAGUGUUAUUGACCUUUGACCUAGCAGGUGCAAUGUUUCCGCCAUCUUGUUUCCGCCAUCUUGUUUCCGCCAUCUUGAAACCAGUCGAUUGUGAAGUGAACAUUAUAGCUCUAGAUUUUAAUUAUUUUGAUUGAUAAUAGUGAGUUGAAUGUAGAUGUAGGGAGACAGAUGUACAGAAAUAUGACAAGUGUGAUGUUGCUUUUACCCGAAAAUAAAAUCAAAGAGUCUCCGA
This is an RNA transcript of Branchiostoma belcheri (Belcher's lancelet), 2250 nucleotides long. RefSeq lists it as uncharacterized. The record is from RefSeq and is a predicted model, not a curated record. NCBI's taxonomy places the organism in Eukaryota, Metazoa, Chordata, Leptocardii, Amphioxiformes, Branchiostomatidae. The transcript has 8 exons.